Molecule: ribosomal RNA, 714 nt
Filed under: uncultured bacterium
Lineage: Bacteria
Description: bacterial SSU rRNA
Rfam family: Bacterial small subunit ribosomal RNA
Source: RNAcentral
UAACACGUAUCCAACCUGCCGUCUACUCUUGGACAGCCUUCUGAAAGGAAGAUUAAUACAAGAUGGCAUCAUGAGUCCGCAUGUUCACAUGAUUAAAGGUAUUCCGGUAGACGAUGGGGAUGCGUUCCAUUAGAUAGUAGGCGGGGCAACGGCCCACCUAGUCUUCGAUGGAUAGGGGUUCUGAGAGGAAGGUCCCCCACAUUGGAACUGAGACACGGUCCAAACUCCUACGGGAGGCAGCAGUGAGGAAUAUUGGUCAAUGGGCGAGAGCCUGAACCAGCCAAGUAGCGUGAAGGAUGACUGCCCUAUGGGUUGUAAACUUCUUUUAUAAAGGAAUAAAGUCGGGUAUGGAUACCCGUUUGCAUGUACUUUAUGAAUAAGGAUCGGCUAACUCCGUGCCAGCAGCCGCGGUAAUACGGAGGAUCCGAGCGUUAUCCGGAUUUAUUGGGUUUAAAGGGAGCGUAGAUGGAUGUUUAAGUCAGUUGUGAAAGUUUGCGGCUCAACCGUAAAAUUGCAGUUGAUACUGGAUAUCUUGAGUGCAGUUGAGGCAGGCGGAAUUCGUGGUGUAGCGGUGAAAUGCUUAGAUAUCACGAAGAACUCCGAUUGCGAAGGCAGCCUGCUAAGCUGCAACUGACAUUGAGGCUCGAAAGUGUGGGUAUCAAACAGGAUUAGAUACCCUGGUAGUCCACACGGUAAACGAUGAAUACUCGCUGU